GACAAACGCUGGCGGUAUGCCUAACACAUGCAAGUCGAACGGACAGAACAGGGAAGCUUUUCGGAGUGGAACUGGAAAGUUAGUGGCGGAUGGGUGAGUAACGCGUGGACAACCUACCUUGUAAAGGGGAAUAACCUCGAGAAAUCGAAGCUAAUACCCCAUAAUAACCUUGCUUCGCAUGAAGUAAGGAGGAAAGGCGGCCUUAGCGCUGUCGAUACAAGAUGGGUCCGCGUCUGAUUAGCUAGUUGGUGAGGUAAAGGCUCACCAAGGCGACGAUCAGUAGCCGGCCUGAGAGGGGGAACGGCCACAUUGGGACUGAGACACGGCCCAAACUCCUACGGGAGGCAGCAGUGGGGAAUCUUCCGCAAUGGGCGAAAGCCUGACGGAGCAAUGCCGCGUGAGUGAAGAAGGCCUUCGGGUUGUAAAACUCUGUCCUUAUCGAAGAGAGAGUGUUGUAGUAACUGACAAUACUAGGACGGUAGAUGAGGAGGAAGCCCCGGCUAACUAUGUG
This 511-nucleotide ribosomal RNA is filed under the name uncultured bacterium. RNAcentral's name for it is "partial 16S ribosomal RNA". It matches the Rfam family "Bacterial small subunit ribosomal RNA", at positions 28 to 507 of the family's 1533-position model. The record is from RNAcentral.